RNAcentral lists this ribosomal RNA (417 nucleotides) under NC10 bacterium enrichment culture clone SFBR 5. Its description in RNAcentral is "bacterial SSU rRNA". It matches the Rfam family "Bacterial small subunit ribosomal RNA", at positions 1000 to 1414 of the family's 1533-position model. The record is from RNAcentral. Lineage: Bacteria; Methylomirabilota (SeqCode).
CCUGAAAGGGCGGGGUGCCCGCAAGGGAGCGUGGAGACAGGUGGUGCAUGGCUGUCGUCAGCUCGUGUCGUGAGAUGUUGGGUUAAGUCCCGCAACGAGCGCAACCCUCACCCCUAGUUGCCACCGGGUAAUGCCGAGCACUCGAGGGGAACUGCCAGCGUCAAGCUGGAGGAAGGCGGGGAUGACGUCAAGUCAUCAUGCCCCUUACGUCCUGGGCUACACACGUGCUACAAUGGCCGAUACAGAGGGAUGCGAGACCGCGAGGUGGAGCUAAUCCCAAAAAGCCGGUCUAAGUUCAGAUUGCAGUCUGCAACUCGACUGCAUGAAGUAGGAAUCGCUAGUAAUCGCGCAUCAGCACGGCGCGGUGAAUACGUUCCCGGGCCUUGUACACACCGCCCGUCACACCACGAAAGCUGG